GAGGGAGAGGAGAAAAGACAGCUCUACGACGUGCUCUUUUGGAAACAGAACGGAGUGCUGUGCUGCCUCUCUCUUUUUCCUCCGUUAUCUCUCUCUCGCUCUCUCUCUCUCUCUCCCCCUCGUCUUCUCCUCCUCCUCUUCAAGCCUCCCUUCCUCAGUUGUAACCGUGCGGUUGCCAAGAGAGCUGUAGUACAGUAGCGACUGUAACUAGGUACGAGCUCCGGGACAUUUCUCCCGGUCUCAAGAGCCUGAAUGUCGACCAGCGGCUCCAGCUCCUCAUCACGGAAGGACUUCGAUGUGAAGCAAAUCCUCCGAAGCCGAUGGAGGUGGUUCGGUCACCCGGCUGUUCCCCCGCCAGGAGACUUCUUUACCGGGAGAGGAGCGGGGGCCAGCCCCGGAGAGUACCACAGCCCCUCUGUUAGUGGCUGUUCUACCGGUAACGGAAUCGUUAACGGCGCCGGUACAGGAAAUAACUGCUUAGUAGCAGUUGGAACUAGUGGUAACGGCAGUUGUAGUGGAAAUAAUUCAUGCAACGCCAACAACAGAAAGUUUAUGGAUAAUUCUGUUGGGAGUCCCACUGAUAACCUCCCGGUAACACCGUUUGUAGCCGCGGCAGCUGAACAUUCCUCUUGUCCGCGGUCAUUCAACCAACCGGAGUGGGUCGACCCGUUGUCUUUCUCUCACUCUCGGCCGGUAACAGACACAGAGCGCCCCGGGGAGGGCUCAUCGCUUCUCCAACCGCCGGUACCGGAGGCGGGUGUUCCCGCGGCUGAAGAGGAGACGGGACUGACGGGAGCCGAGAGUAAUAACAACCACGACGACAAUGCCUCCAGCUCCUGCAGGACUUCCAACAGCAGUGCGACGCUGUCCUCAUGCGUGUCGAUGGAACCGUGCGUGUCCUCCGACGAGUGUGUGUACACGGCUCACACACACGCAGACCUGAUCUCCAGCAAGAUGGAGACCUACCUCCGGACCAAGCAGCUGUGUGACGUCACUCUGGUGUCAGGGGACAGGAGGAUACCUGCUCACAGACUGGUCCUGUCGUCGGUGUCAGACUACUUUGCGGCCAUGUUCACCAGUGAUGUCAGAGAGGCCAAACAGGAAGAGGUUAAGAUGGAGGGGGUGGACCCUGAUGCAUUGUGGGUGCUGGUGCAAUACGCUUACACAGGUCGUGUGGAGUUGAGAGAGGACACUAUAGAGUGUAUAUUGUCAGUAUCGUGUCUCCUCCAGCUGCAGCCGGUGGUCCAGGCCUGCUGUAACUUCCUCAUCAAACAGCUCCACCCUUCUAACUGUCUGGGGAUACGGGCUACGCCGACACACAGAGCUGCUCACAGCUCCACCACGCUGCUCACAGCUUCACCAUGGAGAACUUUGUGGAGGUGGUGGAAGGUCAGGAAUUUCUCCUCCUCCCGCUAGAAGAGAUGGACAGAUUGUUGUCGUCCGACGAUAUGAAUGUUCCAGACGAGGAAACCGUGGUUACGGCGUUGCUAAGCUGGGUCCGCCAUGACGUCUCCACCCGGCAAUCACACCUGCCCUCGCUCCUCGCUCACAUACGACUACCUUUACUGGAAGCACAGUUCCUAGCAGACCUGGAGUGUAACCCUCUGCUCCGAGACAGUGUGGAGUGUCAGAGGCUUUUAAUGGAAGGUAGGCCUCGUCCCAAAUCUGUCUUCCCUACUGCUGAAGGCCUCGUCCCAAAUCUGUCUUCCCUACAGCUGAAGGCCUCGUCCCAAAUCUGUCUUCCCUACAGCCAGGCCUCGUCCUAAUCUGUCUUCCCUACAGCCAGGCCUCGUCCCUAAUCUGUCUUCCCUACAGCCAGGCCUCGUCCCUAAUCUGUCUUCCCUACAGCCAGGCCUCGUCCCUAAUCUGUCUUCCCUACAGCCAGGCCUCGUCCCUAAUCUGUCUUCCCUACUGCUGAAGGCCUCGUCCCUAAUCUGUCUUCCCUACAGCCAGGCCUCGUCCCUAAUCUGUCUUCCCUACAGCCAGGCCUCGUCCCUAAUCUGUCUUCCCUACUGCUGAAGGCCUCGUCCCAAAUCUGUCUUCCCUACAGCCAGGCCUCGUCCCUAAUCUGUCUUCCCUACAGCCAGGCCUCGUCCCUAAUCUGUCUUCCCUACUGCUGAAGGCCUCGUCCCAAAUCUGUCUUCCCUACUGCUGAAGGCCUCGUCCCUAAUCUGUCUUCCCUACUGCUGAAGGCCUCGUCCUAAUCUGUCUUCCCUACUGCUGAAGGCCUCGUUCCUAAUCUGUCUUCCCUACUGCUGAAGGCCUCGUCCCUAA
This is a non-coding RNA of Salmo salar (Atlantic salmon), 2274 nucleotides long. Lineage: Eukaryota; Metazoa; Chordata; Actinopteri; Salmoniformes; Salmonidae. The record is from RefSeq and is a predicted model, not a curated record.